GGGCGGCAGCCUUUAUGUUUGUUUUUUGAGGAAAUCGAAGUGCGUGCGAAGCAGGGGCUGAAGGCGGUGGCCUUUUUAUUUUUUGAGGGACUGAACAUGCGAGCGACGCAGGGGCUGAGGGACGGUGGCUUUUUUGUUUUUUGAGGCACUGGACGUGCGAGCGACGCAGGGGCUGAGGGCGGUGGCCUUUUUAUUUUUUGAGGGACUGGACGUAAGAGCGACGCAGGGGUUAAGGGCAGCAGCCUUUUUGUUUUUUGAGGGACUUGACUUACGAGCGACGCAAGGGCUGAGGGCGUUGGCUUUUUUGUUUUUUGAGAGAUUUGACGUGCGAGCGACGCAGGGGCUGAGGGCCGUGGCCUUUUUGUUUUUUUGAGGGACUUGACGUGCGAGCGACGCAAGGGCUGAGGGACGGUGGCUUUUUUGUUUUUUGAGGCACUGGACGUGCGAGCGACGCAGGGGCAGAGGGCGGCGGCUUUUUUUGUUUGUUUUUUGAGAGACUUGACGUGCGAGCGAUGCAGGGGUUUUAGUUUUUUGAGUAAUUUCCCUCUAAAAACAAA
Long non-coding RNA from Sinocyclocheilus rhinocerous, 557 nucleotides. RefSeq lists it as uncharacterized. The record is from RefSeq and is a predicted model, not a curated record. The transcript is spliced from 2 exons. Lineage: Eukaryota; Metazoa; Chordata; Actinopteri; Cypriniformes; Cyprinidae.